This 506-nucleotide ribosomal RNA is filed under the name uncultured bacterium. RNAcentral describes it as "partial 16S ribosomal RNA". It matches the Rfam family "Bacterial small subunit ribosomal RNA", at positions 28 to 523 of the family's 1533-position model. The record is from RNAcentral.
GAUGAACGCUAGCUACAGGCUUAACACAUGCAAGUCGAGGGGUAACGAGAGGAAAGCUUGCUUUCCUUGUCGACGACCGGCGCACGGGUGAGUAACGCGUAUCCAACCUGCCCCCAACUAGGGAAUAACCUUUCGAAAGUAAGACUAAUACCCUAUACUUUCCUCAGAUGUCAUCUGACGAGGAAUAAAGAUUUAUCGGUUGUGGAUGGGGAUGCGUCUGAUUAGCUUGCUGGCGGGGUAACGGCCCACCAAGGCAAAGAUCAGUAGGGGUUCUGAGAGGAAGGUCCCCCACAUUGGAACUGAGACACGGUCCAGACUCCUACGGGAGGCAGCAGUGAGGAAUAUUGGUCAAUGGGCGGAAGCCUGAACCAGCCAAGUAGCGUGCAGGAUGACGGCCCUAUGGGUUGUAAACUGCUUUUAUACAGGAAUAAAGUUAGCCACGUGUGGUUAUUUGUAGGUACUGUAUGAAUAAGGACCGGCUAAUUCCGUGCCAGCCGCCGCCGUAA